RNAcentral lists this ribosomal RNA (252 nucleotides) under uncultured bacterium. RNAcentral describes it as "partial 16S ribosomal RNA". It matches the Rfam family "Bacterial small subunit ribosomal RNA", at positions 524 to 776 of the family's 1533-position model. The record is from RNAcentral.
UACGUAGGGGGCUAGCGUUGUCCGGAUUUAUUGGGCGUAAAGAGCGCGCAGGCGGUCAGAUAAGUCGAAUGUGAAAGCCCCCGGCUCAACUGGGGAGGGUCAUUCGAUACUGUUCGACUCGAAGGCAGGAGAGGGAAGUGGAAUUCCCGGUGUAGUGGUGAAAUGCGUAGAUAUCGGGAGGAACACCAGUGGCGAAGGCGACUUCCUGGCCUGCACUGACGCUCAUGCACGAAAGCGUGGGGAGCAAACAGG